RNAcentral lists this ribosomal RNA (497 nucleotides) under uncultured bacterium. Its description in RNAcentral is "partial 16S ribosomal RNA". It matches the Rfam family "Bacterial small subunit ribosomal RNA", at positions 28 to 507 of the family's 1533-position model. The record is from RNAcentral.
GACGAACGCUGGCGGCGUGCCUAAUACAUGCAAGUUGAGCGCUGAAGGUUGGUACUUGUACCGACUGGAUGAGCAGCGAACGGGUGAGUAACGCGUGGGUAAUCUGCCUUUGAGCGGGGGACAACAUUUGGAAACGAAUGCUAAUACCGCAUAAAAACUUUAAACACAAGUUUUAAGUUUGAAAGAUGCAAUUGCAUCACUCAAAGAUGAUCCCGCGUUGUAUUAGCUAGUUGGUGAGGUAAAGGCUCACCAAGGCGAUGAUACAUAGCCGACCUGAGAGGGUGAGCGGCCACAUUGGGACUGAGACACGGCCCAAACUCCUACGGGAGGCAGCAGUAGGGAACCUUCGGCAAUGGACGAAAGUCUGACCGAGCAACGCCGCGUGAGUGAAGAAGGUUGUCGGAUCGUAAAACUCUGUUGGUAGAGAAGAACGUUGGUGAGAGUGGAAAGCUCAUCAAGUGACGGUAACUACCCAGAAAGGGACGGCUAACUACGUG